GAUGAACGCUGGCGGCGUGCCUAAUACAUGCAAGUCGAGCGAACAGACGAGGAGCUUGCUCCUCUGACGUUAGCGGCGGACGGGUGAGUAACACGUGGAUAACCUACCUAUAAGACUGGGAUAACUUCGGGAAACCGGAGCUAAUACCGGAUAAUAUAUUGAACCGCAUGGUUCAAUAGUGAAAGACGGUUUUGCUGUCACUUAUAGAUGGAUCCGCGCCGCAUUAGCUAGUUGGUAAGGUAACGGCUUACCAAGGCAACGAUGCGUAGCCGACCUGAGAGGGUGAUCGCCCACACUGGAACUGAGACACGGUCCAGACGCCUACGAGAGGCAGCAGUAGGGAAUCUUCCGCAAUGGGCGAAAGCCUGACGGAGCAACGCCGCGUGAGUGAUGAAGGUCUUCGGAUCGUAAAACUCUGUUAUUAGGGAAGAACAAAUGUGUAAGUAACUAUGCACGUCUUGACGGUACCUAAUCAGAAAGCCACGGCUAACUACGUG
Molecule: ribosomal RNA, 497 nt
Filed under: uncultured bacterium
Lineage: Bacteria
Description: partial 16S ribosomal RNA
Rfam family: Bacterial small subunit ribosomal RNA
Source: RNAcentral